This 253-nucleotide ribosomal RNA is filed under the name uncultured bacterium. RNAcentral's name for it is "partial 16S ribosomal RNA". It matches the Rfam family "Bacterial small subunit ribosomal RNA", at positions 524 to 776 of the family's 1533-position model. The record is from RNAcentral.
UACGGGGGGGGCAAGCGUUGUUCGGAAUUACUGGGCGUAAAGGGCUCGUAGGCGGCCAACUAAGUCAGACGUGAAAUCCCUCGGCUUAACCGGGGAACUGCAUCUGAUACUGGAUGGCUUGAGUUCGGGAGAGGGAUGUGGAAUUCCAGGUGUAGCGGUGAAAUGCGUAGAUAUCUGGAGGAACACCGGUGGCGAAGGCGGCAUCCUGGACCGACACUGACGCUGAGGAGCGAAAGCCAGGGGAGCAAACAGG